Molecule: long non-coding RNA, 1125 nt
Filed under: Scleropages formosus (Asian bonytongue)
Lineage: Eukaryota; Metazoa; Chordata; Actinopteri; Osteoglossiformes; Osteoglossidae
Description: lncRNA (ENSSFOG00015032531.1)
Source: RNAcentral
GUUCUGACCCCUGUAAUGGUUCCACCCAGUGCUGAUGUGGUGCUACCAUGUUCCUCUGGACCUACUGCAGAGGAAGUCAAGAAUGUAACGGUCAGCUGGCAGCUGGUCACAGGGAAGCAGAGGACUGUCAUCCUUCGGUAUCCUCCGUCAGCACCCGUGGGUCCUACUGAACAGGUCUUGCAGGGACGAGUCAGAUUCAGUGGAAAUCCCCAGGAGGGCGAAGUAGCCCUAAAUGUGUCAAAAGUGACAGACACUGAUACCAACUGGUAUCGCUGUGACCUGCACACGCAGAAAACUCAAAGUUGCUAUGAAGUGAGGCUUGAAGUCAGAGAAUCUCAGUCAGCAGCCAUCACAACAGCCGGCCCGGUGACAGUUAUUACGGAUCUCACAAAUAUAACACCAACGACAACUAUCAGAGACAAUGAAGAGGACAGUGGGAACCGAGGCAGUGGGGCUAUGGUUGUCACACUGGUCUUCCUGUUGUCCACGUGUCUCAUUGCAGUGGCAGCGGCGCUGAUAAUCUGCUUCCUGCGAUACAAAGGGGCAAGAGAAUCAAGGAAUUUUGAUAUGAUUAAUCUUCAGGAGAGUCCUUAUUCCAACGUAGACAUUCGAAACUCAGCUUUGGGUUGUAAACAUCAUGAAAACACACAUACAGCUCCAGCCAACUUGAACCUUUUCUCAGGAGCUACGAGGGAUCAGCUUUAGCUGCCAUACCACCAAACAUAAGAUACAUAGCAGAAGGGACAUUGAUACGGAUUUCUGAACACGUUUUAUACCUUGGCUUACUCCGAAGAUAGGUGUUGUGGUAGGUUGCUACAAUUUAAAACUAAUACACUGUAACACUGCACCUAAGCAUUUUGCAAUUAACAGUUAAAAAUACAGGAUUGUUUUUAGGACUGCUGUAUAAUUUUUACUUUUCUUUCUUACAGAGCAGCACACUUGAAAACAGACACAAGAUAGCCUAUAUGUACAAAGUCACCCAGAAGCAUCAACUUCUUCUACACAGAAACAGUCAUUCUAGACUGUGAAUAUAGCUAAUUAAAGAUCUUAUUAAGUUUUCUUCUUUGUUGUUGUAGCUUUUUUACAUUAUGAAACCCAUAUGGAAAUAAAGAUGCACUCUUUUUG